GGCGCGGUGGAGAAGUGGUUACCUCAUGGGGCUCAUAUCCCCAGGACCUGGGUUCAAAUCCCAGCUGCGCUA
Molecule: transfer RNA, 72 nt
Filed under: Caudoviricetes sp.
Lineage: Duplodnaviria; Heunggongvirae; Uroviricota; Caudoviricetes
Description: tRNA-Met
Rfam family: tRNA
About the family: Transfer RNA (tRNA) molecules are approximately 80 nucleotides in length. Their secondary structure includes four short double-helical elements and three loops (D, anti-codon, and T loops).
Source: RNAcentral